GCCGGGCGUGGUGGCACGUGCCUGUAGUCCCAGCUACUCGGGAGGCUGAGGCAGGAGGAUCACUUGAGCCCAGGAGUUCUGGGCUGUAGUGCGCUAUGCCAGUCGGGUGUCCGCACUAAGUUUGGCAUCAAUAUGGUGACCUCCCGGGAGCGGGGGACCACCAGGUUGCCUAAGGAGGGGUGAACCGGCCCAGGUCGGAAAUGGAGCAGGUCAAAACUCCCGUGCUGAUCAGUAGUGGGAUCGCGCCUGUGAAUAGCCACUGCACGUCAGCCUGGGCAACAUAGUGAGACCCCGUCUCU
RNAcentral lists this signal recognition particle RNA (299 nucleotides) under Aotus nancymaae (Ma's night monkey). RNAcentral describes it as "Metazoan signal recognition particle RNA (ENSANAG00000001705.1)". It matches the Rfam family "Metazoan signal recognition particle RNA". Rfam says of the family: The signal recognition particle (SRP) is a universally conserved ribonucleoprotein. It is involved in the co-translational targeting of proteins to membranes. The eukaryotic SRP consists of a 300-nucleotide 7S RNA and six proteins: SRPs 72, 68, 54, 19, 14, and 9. Lineage: Eukaryota; Metazoa; Chordata; Mammalia; Primates; Aotidae. The record is from RNAcentral.